GACGGAGGAUGCAAGCGUUAUCCGGAAUGAUUGGGCGUAAAGCGUCCGCAGGUGGCAGUUCAAGUCUGCUGUCAAAGACCGGGGCUUAACUUCGGAAAGGCAGUGGAAACUGAACAGCUAGAGUAUGGUAGGGGCAGAGGGAAUUCCUGGUGUAGCGGUGAAAUGCGUAGAGAUCAGGAAGAACAUCGGUGGCGAAGGCGCUCUGCUGGACCAUAACUGACACUCAGGGACGAAAGCUAGGGGAGCGAAAGGG
RNAcentral lists this ribosomal RNA (253 nucleotides) under uncultured bacterium. RNAcentral's name for it is "partial 16S ribosomal RNA". It matches the Rfam family "Bacterial small subunit ribosomal RNA", at positions 524 to 776 of the family's 1533-position model. The record is from RNAcentral.